This 465-nucleotide ribosomal RNA is filed under the name uncultured bacterium. RNAcentral's name for it is "partial 16S ribosomal RNA". It matches the Rfam family "Bacterial small subunit ribosomal RNA", at positions 28 to 507 of the family's 1533-position model. The record is from RNAcentral.
GACGAACGCUGGCGGCGUGCUUAACACAUGCAAGUCGUACGGUAAGGCCCUUUCGGGGGUACACGAGUGGCGAACGGGUGAGUAACACGUGAGUAACCUGCCCACAACUUUGGGAUAACGCUAGGAAACUGGUGCUAAUACUGGAUAUGUGCUCCUGCUGCAUGGUGGGGGUUGGAAAGCUCCGGCGGUUGUGGAUGGACUCGCGGCCUAUCAGCUUGUUGGUGGGGUAGUGGCCUACCAAGGCGGCGACGGGUAGCCGGCCUGAGAGGGUGACCGGCCACAUUGGGACUGAGAUACGGCCCAGACUCCUACGGGAGGCAGCAGUGGGGAAUAUUGCACAAUGGGCGCAAGCCUGAUGCAGCAACGCCGCGUGCGGGAUGACGGCCUUCGGGUUGUAAACCGCUUUCAGCAGGGACGAAGCUUUUUGUGACGGUACCUGCAGAAGAAGCGCCGGCUAACUACGUG